UACGUAGGUGGCAAGCGUUGUCCGGAAUUACUGGGUGUAAAGGGAGCGUAGGCGGUUUGGUAAGUUGAGUGUGAAAUCUACCGGCUUAACUGGUAGGCUGCGCUCAAAACUGCCAAACUUGAGUGAAGUAGAGGCAGGCGGAAUUCCCGGUGUAGCGGUGGAAUGCGUAGAUAUCGGGAGGAACACCAGUGGCGAAGGCGGCCUGCUGGGCUUUUACUGACGCUGAUGCUCGAAAGCAUGGGGAGCAAACAGG
This 253-nucleotide ribosomal RNA is filed under the name uncultured bacterium. Its description in RNAcentral is "partial 16S ribosomal RNA". It matches the Rfam family "Bacterial small subunit ribosomal RNA", at positions 524 to 776 of the family's 1533-position model. The record is from RNAcentral.